UACAGAGGUCCCAAGCGUUGUUCGGAUUCACUGGGCGUAAAGGGUGCGUAGGUGGCUUGGUAAGUUUGAUGUGAAAUCUCCGGGCUUAACCCGGAAAUGGCAUUGAAUACUAUUGAGCUGGAGGUUUGGAGGGGGGACUGGAAUUCUCGGUGUAGCAGUGAAAUGCGUAGAUAUCAAGAGGAACACCAGUGGCGAAGGCGAGUCCCUGGACAACACCUGACACUGAGGCACGAAAGCUAGGGGAGCAAACAGG
RNAcentral lists this ribosomal RNA (253 nucleotides) under uncultured bacterium. RNAcentral describes it as "partial 16S ribosomal RNA". It matches the Rfam family "Bacterial small subunit ribosomal RNA", at positions 524 to 776 of the family's 1533-position model. The record is from RNAcentral.